This 587-nucleotide ribosomal RNA is filed under the name uncultured bacterium. Its description in RNAcentral is "bacterial SSU rRNA". It matches the Rfam family "Bacterial small subunit ribosomal RNA", at positions 74 to 669 of the family's 1533-position model. The record is from RNAcentral.
GGGGGCUUGCCCCCCUAGUGGCGCACGGGUGAGUAAUGCGUAACUGACCUACCCCGAAGUCCGGGAUAACUGGGCGAAAGUUCAGCUAAUACCGGAUACCCAGAUGACUCGUGAGUCAUCUGGAAAGGUUUACUGCUUUGGGAUGGGGUUACGUUCCAUCAGCUUGUUGGUAGGGUAAAGGCCUACCAAGGCGACGACGGAUAGCCGGCCUGAGAGGGUGGCCGGCCACAGGGGCACUGAGACACGGGUCCCACUCCUACGGGAGGCAGCAGUUAGGAAUCUUCCACAAGGGGCGCAAGCCUGAUGGAGCGACGCCGCGUGAGGGAUGAAGGUUUUCGGAUCGUAAACCUCUGAAUCUGGGACGAAAGGCCCGCAAGGGAGAUGACGGUACCAGAGUAAUAGCACCGGCUAACUCCGUGCCAGCAGCCGCGGUAAUACGGGAGGGUGCAAGCGUUACCCGGAAUCACUGGGCGUAAAGGGGCGUGUAGGCCGGUCCAAUAAGUCUGGCUUUAAAGACUGAAGCUCACCCUCAGGGAUGGGGCUGGAAAACUGUUGGACUGGACCUCUGGAGAAAGAACCUCGAAUUU